Non-coding RNA from Microcebus murinus (gray mouse lemur), 336 nucleotides. Lineage: Eukaryota; Metazoa; Chordata; Mammalia; Primates; Cheirogaleidae. The record is from RefSeq and is a predicted model, not a curated record.
AGGUCUUACAGGUCAUAUGGGGAAGCUGGUACCACUGAAGGAAACUAUCAAAGGAUUCCAGCAGAUUUUGGCAGGUGAAUAUGAUCAUCUCCAGAACAGCCUUCUAUAUGGUGGGACCCAUUGAAGAAGCUGUGGCAAAAGCUGUUAAGUUGGCUGAAGAGCAUCAUCGUGAGGGGUCUUUUUGGCAAACUAAGCAAUCAUCCUGUUGUCCCUCUCCUUGUCCCAAUCCAAAAACCUUCAGUUUUCUGUGUAGGCCACACAAGAGCCUUGAUUGAAGACAUUUUGUUCUGUCUGAAGAGUAUUUAAGGUUUCCAAUAAAAUGUACACCCCUCGGAA